This 253-nucleotide ribosomal RNA is filed under the name uncultured bacterium. RNAcentral describes it as "partial 16S ribosomal RNA". It matches the Rfam family "Bacterial small subunit ribosomal RNA", at positions 524 to 776 of the family's 1533-position model. The record is from RNAcentral.
UACGGAGGAUCCGAGCGUUAUCCGGAUUUAUUGGGUUUAAAGGGUGCGUAGGCGGCCUGUUAAGUCAGGGGUGAGAGACGGUAGCUCAACUAUCGCAGUGCCCUUGAUACUGAUGGGCUUGAAUGUACUAGAGGUAGGCGGAAUGUGACAAGUAGCGGUGAAAUGCAUAGAUAUGUCACAGAACACCAAUUGCGAAGGCAGCUUACUAUGGUAUUAUUGACGCUGAGGCACGAAGCUUGUGGGAGCGAGAGGG